Molecule: non-coding RNA, 25 nt
Filed under: Rattus norvegicus (Norway rat)
Lineage: Eukaryota; Metazoa; Chordata; Mammalia; Rodentia; Muridae
Source: RNAcentral
UGGACUUCUGAAUGGAGCUCAUGGG